CACGUAGUUAGCCGGAGCUUAUUCUACAGGUACUGUCAUUAUCUUCCCUGUCUAAAGCGGUUUACAAUCCGAAAACCUUCUUCCUGCACGCGGCGUCACUGCGUCAGAGUUUCCUCCAUUGCGCAAUAUUCCCGACUGCUGCCUCCCGUAGGAGUCUGGGCCGUAUCUCAGUCCCAAUGUGGCCGUUCAACCUCUCAGUCCGGCUACUGAUCGUCGACUUGGUAGGCCGUUACCCCACCAACUAUCUAAUCAGACGCAAGCCCAUCUAUCAGCGGAUUGCUCCUUUCCCAUUUAUAUCAUGUGAUAUUCAUGGCAUAUGCGGUAUUAGCAGUCAUUUCUAACUGUUGUUCCCCUCUGAUAGGCAGGUUGCUUACGUGUUACUCACCAGUCCGCCACUAACCGCUCCAAUAGUAAACUAAUGGUUAAUCCGUUCGACUUGCAUGUCUUAUGUGCGCCGCCAGCGUUUUAUCCUGAGCCAGGAUCAAACU
RNAcentral lists this ribosomal RNA (488 nucleotides) under uncultured Eubacteriales bacterium. RNAcentral describes it as "uncultured Clostridiales bacterium partial 16S ribosomal RNA". The record is from RNAcentral. Lineage: Bacteria; Bacillati; Bacillota; Clostridia; Eubacteriales.